UCAAAAGGUUUUUUGAAGGGGUUUAUACAAAUUAGUUUGGAAUGGAGUCCAUAGUCCCAUAGACCAAAGUUUUGGAGGACACAAAAUGAAAGGAGUGGUGGAGAGCAUUUUCAGGUGGGAGGACAUGGCUUAACCCAGACCAACAUGCAAGGAGAGGGGAGAGGGUUUUCAGGACUGAAGGAAGGCUUGAAAGAGACGAAAUGUAGAGAGAAUCUGUCAAGGAUGACAUCCGAUGGGUCAGGGGUUUUGGAGGGGAGAGGAAAUGCAGAACAACGUCAGGGGUUUGGGGGGAGCUUGACGGGAGGGAAUCUGUCGAGGAGAUGAAGUUUGGGGGAAAUGGAUUUUGACAAAACGCGAGAGGUCGAGCUAGGUCAACGAGUCUCAAAAAAGAGAGAAAAACAAAUGAGAAUGCCAACAUGGAAAAUCCAUG
Molecule: long non-coding RNA, 430 nt
Organism: Juglans microcarpa x Juglans regia
Lineage: Eukaryota; Viridiplantae; Streptophyta; Magnoliopsida; Fagales; Juglandaceae
Exons: 3
Source: RefSeq, a predicted model, not a curated record